CCGUUGCCGGCGACCGGCGCACGGGUGAGUAACACGUAUGCAACCUGCCCGUGGCAGGGGGAGUAAGCGGGGGAAACCCCGUCUAAUACCGCGUAACGCGGCCUAGGGACAUCCCAAGGCCGCCAAAGGGAGCAAUCCCGGCCACGGAUGGGCAUGCGGCGCAUUAGCUAGUCGGCGGGGUAACGGCCCACCGAGGCGACGAUGCGUAGGGGUUCUGAGAGGAAGGCCCCCCACACUGGUACUGAGACACGGACCAGACUCCUACGGGAGGCAGCAG
RNAcentral lists this ribosomal RNA (277 nucleotides) under uncultured bacterium. RNAcentral describes it as "partial 16S ribosomal RNA". It matches the Rfam family "Bacterial small subunit ribosomal RNA", at positions 82 to 354 of the family's 1533-position model. The record is from RNAcentral.